CCAUUUCUAGCAAAAAUACCUCCCUGUAACUCCAAUCUUAAAACCCACAACUUCAUUUCCAAUUCAAUAACUUCAAACUGCCAAGAUUACCUAAAACAUACCCAAAAUGCCAACUUUUUCCAAAAUUUGAAAGCUUGAAGCUUCACACUUCAAGUUCAAAUUCAUUCUAAAUGAACAAAGAUUUAAACUUCAAAGGUGUCAGAAGAAUUAGAAUUCAUACAGACAAAAGUGAACACUCUUUACCUUAUUGGAGCUUCACUUAACUGAUACACAAUUCAGAUUCACAAAAUAUUACAUAUAAAAAAAACAUUUUUUUUCAACUCUUACUUGUUUCUUGAUACUCAUGUAUAAGCUUCGUCUUCCAUCCCUUUGCAUUUCAAUUCUCCUCUGUUUAUUAUGUUCUUCUCCAAAAAUCACAUCUUUUGAAUCAAGAAUCGAAAAUACCCACUUCCCACUUUCUCUCUCUGACACCACUCUCUCUCUCUCUC
Molecule: long non-coding RNA, 488 nt
Filed under: Nicotiana tabacum (common tobacco)
Lineage: Eukaryota; Viridiplantae; Streptophyta; Magnoliopsida; Solanales; Solanaceae
Description: long non-coding RNA (NTAB_LNC014658)
Source: RNAcentral